This 149-nucleotide unclassified non-coding RNA is filed under the name soil metagenome. RNAcentral describes it as "partial internal transcribed spacer 1". The record is from RNAcentral.
CCGAGUUUACAACUCCCAAACCCCUGUGAACAUACCUUUAUGUUGCCUCGGCGGAUCAGCCCGCGCCCCGUAAAACGGGACGGCCCGCCGCAGGAAACCUUAAACUCUGUUUUUAGUGGAACUUCUGAGUAUAAAAAACAAAUAAAUCA